This 685-nucleotide ribosomal RNA is filed under the name Streptomyces sp. CV2_6. RNAcentral describes it as "bacterial SSU rRNA". It matches the Rfam family "Bacterial small subunit ribosomal RNA", at positions 98 to 797 of the family's 1533-position model. The record is from RNAcentral. Lineage: Bacteria; Bacillati; Actinomycetota; Actinomycetes; Kitasatosporales; Streptomycetaceae.
GCGAACGGGUGAGUAACACGUGGGCAAUCUGCCCUUCACUCUGGGACAAGCCCUGGAAACGGGGUCUAAUACCGGAUAAUACUUUUCCUCUCAUGGGGGAAGGUUAAAAGCUCCGGCGGUGAAGGAUGAGCCCGCGGCCUAUCAGCUAGUUGGUGGGGUAAUGGCCUACCAAGGCGACGACGGGUAGCCGGCCUGAGAGGGCGACCGGCCACACUGGGACUGAGACACGGCCCAGACUCCUACGGGAGGCAGCAGUGGGGAAUAUUGCACAAUGGGCGAAAGCCUGAUGCAGCGACGCCGCGUGAGGGAUGACGGCCUUCGGGUUGUAAACCUCUUUCAGCAGGGAAGAAGCGAAAGUGACGGUACCUGCAGAAGAAGCGCCGGCUAACUACGUGCCAGCAGCCGCGGUAAUACGUAGGGCGCAAGCGUUGUCCGGAAUUAUUGGGCGUAAAGAGCUCGUAGGCGGCUUGUUGCGUCGGUUGUGAAAGCCCGGGGCUUAACCCCGGGUCUGCAGUCGAUACGGGCAGGCUAGAGUGUGGUAGGGGAGAUCGGAAUUCCUGGUGUAGCGGUGAAAUGCGCAGAUAUCAGGAGGAACACCGGUGGCGAAGGCGGAUCUCUGGGCCAUUACUGACGCUGAGGAGCGAAAGCGUGGGGAGCGAACAGGAUUAGAUACCCUGGUAGUCCA